Molecule: ribosomal RNA, 200 nt
Filed under: uncultured bacterium
Lineage: Bacteria
Description: partial 16S ribosomal RNA
Rfam family: Bacterial small subunit ribosomal RNA
Source: RNAcentral
AGAGUUUGAUCAUGGCUCAGGACGAACGCUGGCGGCGUGCUUAACACAUGCAAGUCAAGGAUGCUAUAGCAAUAUAGCGAACUGGCGCACGGGUGCGUAACACGUAGGUAAUUUACCCUAAGGACUUGUACAACCCUGAGAAAUCAAGGCUAAUUCAAGAUGACACGGCGGAACCGCAUGGCUCUGCCGUCAAAGGCUCG